RNAcentral lists this transfer RNA (73 nucleotides) under Haramonas pauciplastida. RNAcentral's name for it is "tRNA-Arg". It matches the Rfam family "tRNA". From Rfam's summary of the family: Transfer RNA (tRNA) molecules are approximately 80 nucleotides in length. Their secondary structure includes four short double-helical elements and three loops (D, anti-codon, and T loops). Further hydrogen bonds mediate the characteristic L-shaped molecular structure. tRNAs have two regions of fundamental functional importance: the anti-codon, which is responsible for specific mRNA codon recognition, and the 3' end, to which the tRNAs corresponding amino acid is attached (by aminoacyl-tRNA synthetases). tRNAs cope with the degeneracy of the genetic code in two manners: having more than one tRNA (with a specific anti-codon) for a particular amino acid; and 'wobble' base-pairing, i.e. permitting non-standard base-pairing at the 3rd anti-codon position. The record is from RNAcentral. Lineage: Eukaryota; Raphidophyceae.
GAACAUGUAGCUCAGUGGAUAGAGUGUCAGAUUCCGAUUCUGUAUGUCGAAGGUUCGAUCCCUUUCAUGUUCA